This 70-nucleotide transfer RNA is filed under the name Lithobates magnaocularis (northwest Mexico leopard frog). RNAcentral describes it as "Rana magnaocularis (northwest Mexico leopard frog) tRNA-Val". It matches the Rfam family "tRNA". Rfam says of the family: Transfer RNA (tRNA) molecules are approximately 80 nucleotides in length. The record is from RNAcentral. Lineage: Eukaryota; Metazoa; Chordata; Amphibia; Anura; Ranidae.
UCAAAGUGUAGCUUACUUAAAGCCCUUCGCUUACACCGAAGAAACAUCUGUUUAAACCGUAUCAUUUAGA